Molecule: ribosomal RNA, 402 nt
Filed under: uncultured bacterium
Lineage: Bacteria
Description: bacterial SSU rRNA
Rfam family: Bacterial small subunit ribosomal RNA
Source: RNAcentral
UGGGGAAUAUUGCACAAUGGGCGAAAGCCUGAUGCAGCAACGCCGCGUGAGUGAUGAAGGCCUUCGGGUUGUAAAGCUCUGUCUUUUGGGACGAUAAUGACGGUACCAAAGGAGGAAGCCACGGCUAACUACGUGCCAGCAGCCGCGGCAAUACGUAGGUGGCAAGCGUUGUCCGGAUUUACUGGGCGUAAAGGAUGCGUAGGCGGAUUUUUAAGUGAGAUGUGAAAUACCCGGGCUUAACUUGGGUGCUGCAUUUCAAACUGGGAAUCUAGAGUGCGGGAGAGGAGAAUGGAAUUCCUAGUGUAGCGGUGAAAUGCGUAGAGAUUAGGAAGAACACCAGUGGCGAAGGCGAUUCUCUGGACCGUAACUGACGCUGAGGCAUGAAAGCGUGGGUAGCAAACA